AUCGUACCCCAAACCGACACAGGUGGUCAGGUAGAGAAUACCAAGGCGCUUGAGAGAACUCGGGUGAAGGAACUAGGCAAAAUGGUGCCGUAACUUCGGGAGAAGGCACGCUGAUAGGUAGGUGAAGCCCCUGCGGGCGGAGCUGAAAUCAGUCGAAGAUACCAGCUGGCUGCAACUGUUUAUUAAAAACACAGCACUGUGCAAACACGAAAGUGGACGUAUACGGUGUGACGCCUGCCCGGUG
RNAcentral lists this ribosomal RNA (244 nucleotides) under Enterobacter cloacae. RNAcentral describes it as "partial 23S ribosomal RNA". It matches the Rfam family "Bacterial large subunit ribosomal RNA", at positions 1641 to 1868 of the family's 2925-position model. Lineage: Bacteria; Pseudomonadati; Pseudomonadota; Gammaproteobacteria; Enterobacterales; Enterobacteriaceae. The record is from RNAcentral. RNAcentral also lists the same sequence under 4 other names.